GUUUCACCUGCGGAAAGAAAGUCGAUCUCUUUUAGGUUGAGUGAAGAGAUCGAAUUCUGUUUAACAUUAGGGUUUGGGGGAGCAUCUCGAAGAAGGAACUGUCCCUCUGCCAUAUUUUGCGAGGUUAAGGUAAGAUUCUUCUGUAAAAUUUGAUCGAAUUGUUUCAUUAAAUUUGAAUGGAAUGCCAAUUCCAUUAACACAUAAACAUUUAUUUGCAUGAAUUUCAGAGAGAUUUAGCAAGAAAUAAGCAAUGGAGGAUGUGAAACAUAAAUCUAGGAAGGAAGAUUCGGAAAGGAAGGAGGAGGAUUCGAAGAGGAGUCACCGUGAUCGUGAUAAGGAGAGGAAUGGAGAGAGGAAUCGGGACAGAGAGAAAAGCCGACGUUCUGAGAGAGAGAAGAGUAUUGAUUCCGAUGACAAAUAUGAGAGAGAGCGGGACAAGCAUAGAAGGAGCCGAGAUGACGAAAGGGAAAGACCCAAGGAUAGGAAGAGAGAUAGAGAUCGGGACAGAGAUAGAGAUAGUGAAAGGGAGGAGAAAAGGGAGAGGGCGAGAGAGAAAGAGAGAGAUAAGAGGGAACGUGACAGAGAAGAACGUGAACGGGAGAGAGAUAGAGAGAGGGAGAGAAGGGAACGUGACAGAGAAGAACGAGAAAGGGAGAGGGAGAGGGAGAGG
RNAcentral lists this unclassified non-coding RNA (670 nucleotides) under Hevea brasiliensis (rubber tree). Lineage: Eukaryota; Viridiplantae; Streptophyta; Magnoliopsida; Malpighiales; Euphorbiaceae. The record is from RNAcentral.